GACGAACGCUGGCGGCGUGCCUAAUACAUGCAAGUAGAACGCUGAAGGAGGAGCUUGCUUCUCUGGAUGAGUUGCGAACGGGUGAGUAACGCGUAGGUAACCUGCCUGGUAGCGGGGGAUAACUAUUGGAAACGAUAGCUAAUACCGCAUAAGAGUAGAUGUUGCAUGACAUUUGCUUAAAAGGUGCAAUUGCAUCACUACCAGAUGGACCUGCGUUGUAUUAGCUAGUUGGUGGGGUAACGGCUUACCAAGGCGACGAUACAUAGCCGACCUGAGAGGGUGAUCGGCCACACUGGGACUGAGACACGGCCCAGACUCCUACGGGAGGCAGCAGUAGGGAAUCUUCGGCAAUGGACGGAAGUCUGACCGAGCAACGCCGCGUGAGUGAAGAAGGUUUUCGGAUCGUAAAGCUCUGUUGUAAGAGAAGAACGAGUGUGAGAGUGGAAAGUUCACAAUGUGACGGUAUCUUACCAGAAAGGGACGGCUAACUACGUG
This 495-nucleotide ribosomal RNA is filed under the name uncultured bacterium. Its description in RNAcentral is "partial 16S ribosomal RNA". It matches the Rfam family "Bacterial small subunit ribosomal RNA", at positions 28 to 507 of the family's 1533-position model. The record is from RNAcentral.